CGGCGAGUGAAGCGGUAACAGCUCAAAUUUGAAAUCUGGCCUCACGGUCCGAGUUGUAAUUUGUAGAGGAUGCUUCGAGCAUGGUCUGGCCUAAGUUCCUUGGAACAGGACGUCAUAGAGGGUGAGAAUCCCGUAUGCGGUCAGGUGCCUACGCUCAUGUGAAGCUCCUUCGACGAGUCGAGUUGUUUGGGAAUGCAGCUCAAAAUGGGUGGUAAAUUCCAUCUAAAGCUAAAUAUUGGCCAGAGACCGAUAGCGCACAAGUAGAGUGAUCGAGAGAUGAAAAGCACUUUGGAAAGAGAGUUAAACAGUACGUGAAAUUGUUGAAAGGGAAGCGCUUGCAACCAGACUUGCGCGCGGCCGAUCAUCCGGUGUUCUCACCGGUGCACUCGGCCGUGCUCAGGCCAGCAUCGGUUUUGGCGGCUGGAUAAAGGCCCUAGGAAUGUAGCUCCUCUCGGGGAGUGUUAUAGCCUAGGGUGCAAUGCAGCCUGCUGGGACCGAGGACCGCGCU
Molecule: ribosomal RNA, 508 nt
Filed under: uncultured Geomyces
Lineage: Eukaryota; Fungi; Ascomycota; Leotiomycetes; Myxotrichaceae
Description: eukaryotic LSU rRNA
Rfam family: Eukaryotic large subunit ribosomal RNA
Source: RNAcentral